This 425-nucleotide ribosomal RNA is filed under the name uncultured bacterium. Its description in RNAcentral is "partial 16S ribosomal RNA". It matches the Rfam family "Bacterial small subunit ribosomal RNA", at positions 354 to 796 of the family's 1533-position model. The record is from RNAcentral.
GUUAGGAAUAUUGGACAAUGGGCGCAAGCCUGAUCCAGCCAUGCCGCGUGAGUGAUGAAGGCCUUCGGGUUGUAAAGCUCUUUAGCCGAUGAUUAUAAUGACUGUAGUCGGAAAAUAAGCCCCGGCUAACUUCGUGCCAGCAGCCGCGGUAAUACGAAGGGGGCGAGCGUUAUUCGGAAUCACUGGGCGUAAAGCGUGCGUAGGCGGCUUUGCAAGUUGGGAGUGAAAGCCCAGGGCUCAACCCUGGAAUUGCUCUCAAAACUGCAAGGCUGGAAUUCGGGAGAGGAUAGCGGAAUUGUCAGUGUAGCAGUGAAAUGCGUAGAUAUUGACAGGAACACCAGUGGCGUAAGCGGCUAUCUGGACCGAUAUUGACGCUGAGGCACGAAAGCGUGGGGAUCAAACAGGAUUAGAUACCCUGGUAGUCC